GACGAACGCUGGCGGCGUGCCUAAUACAUGCAAGUAGGACGCAGUUGCGAACGGGUGAGUAACGCGUCGGUAACUGCCUAUUAGAGGGGGAUAACUACUGGAAACGAUAGCUAAUACCGCAUACUAGUAGAUGGACCUGCGUUGUAUUAGCUAGUAGGUAGGGUAAUGGCCUACCUAGGCGACGAUACAUAGCCGAGCUGGGAGGGUGAGCGGCCAAAAUUGGACUGAGGAACGGGCCAAACUCCGACGGGAGGCAGCAGUAGGGGAUCUUCGGCAAUGGGGGGAACCCUGAACGAGCAAAGCCGGGUGAGUGAAGAAGGUUUUCGGAUCGUAAAGCUCUGUUGUUAAGGAAGCGGUACUUAACCAGAAAGGGACGGCUAACUACGUGCCAGCAGCCGCGGUAAUUC
This 407-nucleotide ribosomal RNA is filed under the name uncultured bacterium. RNAcentral describes it as "partial 16S ribosomal RNA". It matches the Rfam family "Bacterial small subunit ribosomal RNA", at positions 28 to 526 of the family's 1533-position model. The record is from RNAcentral.